CAUUCCACUCCAUUAGAUGUCCCGAUCGAGCUUCAACCGUCAGGCCCAAACUCCUUGGCAAGUCACGAUAAUGGCCACUACCCUACUCCACUCUCUGUAACGGAUUUCAUGUGGCUCCACCACUCUCUGGCAAGUCAUGACAAUGGAUACCACUUCACUCUCCAUAACAAACUCUAUAUGGCCCUGAACGGCCCUCUGACGCCACUACUCUACGUAACAAACUCCGUUUGGCCCCGAACGUCCCACUACCAGGAAGUUACAGACGUCACUGUCAAUCAGUUACACUCUCCGUCUAUAAAAAGGGACUCCAGAUACGUUCUUCUCUAAGCUCUAAACUCCAUCCCGAAACUCUGCUAAAAUCCUAUUUGAGUGCUCCAUUUCUGUUGAGGCAGAGUACUAACUUGAGCGUCUGAGGGUCUUGCCGGAGCACCCC
This 433-nucleotide long non-coding RNA is filed under the name Elaeis guineensis (African oil palm). RNAcentral describes it as "long non-coding RNA (EGUI_LNC080878)". Lineage: Eukaryota; Viridiplantae; Streptophyta; Magnoliopsida; Arecales; Arecaceae. The record is from RNAcentral.